This 1136-nucleotide ribosomal RNA is filed under the name uncultured fungus. RNAcentral describes it as "SSU rRNA". It matches the Rfam family "Eukaryotic small subunit ribosomal RNA", at positions 19 to 1162 of the family's 1831-position model. Lineage: Eukaryota; Fungi. The record is from RNAcentral.
UGUAGUCAUAUGCUUGUCUCAAAGAUUAAGCCAUGCAUGUCUAAGUAUAAACAACUCUAUACUGUGAAACUGCGAAUGGCUCAUUAAAUCAGUUAAAGUUUAUUUGAUAGUACCUUACUACUUGGAUAACCGUAGUAAUUCUAGAGCUAAUACAUGCUAAAAUACCCGACUUCUGGAAGGGUUGUAUUUAUUAGAUAAAAAACCAAUGCACUUCGGUGGUCACUGGUGAUUCAUAAUAACUUCGCGAAUCGCAGGGCCUUGCGCCGGCGAUGAAUCAUUCAAAUUUCUGCCCUAUCAACUUUCGAUGGUAAGGUAUUGGCUUACCAUGGUGACAACGGGUAAUGGGGAAUUAGGGUUCGAUUCCGGAGAGGGAGCCUGAGAAACGGCUACCACAUCCAAGGAAGGCAGCAGGCGCGCAAAUUACUCAAUCCUGACACAGGGAGGUAGUGACAAUAAAUAACAAUACGGAGCUUUUUCAAGUUUCCGUAAUUAGAAUGAGUACAAUUUAAACCACUUAACGAGUAACAAUUGGAGGGCAAGUCUGGUGCCAGCAGCCGCGGUAAUUCCAGCUCCAAUAGCGUAUAUUAGAGUUGUUGUGGUUAAAAAGCUCGUAGUUGAACCUUGGGCCUGGCUGGCCGGUCCGCCUCACCGCGUGCACUGGUCCGGCCGGGCCUUUCCCUCUGUGGAACCCCAUGCCCUUCACUGGGUGUGGCGGGGAAACAGGACUUUUACUUUGAAAAAAUUAGAGUGCUCCAGGCAGGCCUAUGCUCGAAUACAUUAGCAUGGAAUAAUGAAAUAGGACGUGCGGUUCUAUUUUGUUGGUUUCUAGGACCGCCGUAAUGAUUAAUAGGGACAGUCGGGGGCAUCAGUAUUCAAUUGUCAGAGGUGAAAUUCUUGGAUUUAUUGAAGACUAACUACUGCGAAAGCAUUUGCCAAGGAUGUUUUCAUUAAUCAGGAACGAAAGUUAGGGGAUCGAAGACGAUCAGAUACCGUCGUAGUCUUAACCAUAAACUAUGCCGACUAGGGAUCGGACGAUGUUAUUUUUUGACUCGAUCGGCACCUUACGAGAAAUCAAAGUGCUUGGGCUCCAGGGGGAGUAUGGUCGCAAGGCUGAAACUUAAAGGAAUUGACGGAAG